RNAcentral lists this ribosomal RNA (813 nucleotides) under Escherichia coli. RNAcentral describes it as "partial 23S ribosomal RNA". It matches the Rfam family "Bacterial large subunit ribosomal RNA", at positions 611 to 1426 of the family's 2925-position model. Lineage: Bacteria; Pseudomonadati; Pseudomonadota; Gammaproteobacteria; Enterobacterales; Enterobacteriaceae. The record is from RNAcentral.
UAUAAUGGGUCAGCGACUUAUAUUCAGUGGCGAGCUUAACCGAAUAGGGAAGGCGUAGCGAAAGCGAGUCUUAAUAGGGCGAAUUAGUCGCUGGGUAUAGACCCGAAACCGGGCGAUCUAUCCAUGAGCAGGUUGAAGGUUAGGUAACACUGACUGGAGGACCGAACCCACUCCCGUUGAAAAGGUAGGGGAUGACUUGUGGAUCGGAGUGAAAGGCUAAUCAAGCUCGGAGAUAGCUGGUUCUCCUCGAAAGCUAUUUAGGUAGCGCCUCACGUAUCACUCCAGGGGGUAGAGCACUGUUUCGGCUAGGGGGUCAUCCCGACUUACCAAACCGAUGCAAACUCCGAAUACCUGGAAGUGUCAGCGUGGGAGACACACGGCGGGUGCUAACGUCCGUCGUGAAAAGGGAAACAACCCAGACCGUCAGCUAAGGUCCCAAAGUUAUGGUUAAGUGGUAAACGAUGUGGGAAGGCUUAGACAGCUAGGAGGUUGGCUUAGAAGCAGCCACCCUUUAAAGAAAGCGUAAUAGCUCACUAGUCGAGUCGGCCUGCGCGGAAGAUGUAACGGGGCUCAAACCAUACACCGAAGCUACGGGUGCAUCGCAAGAUGCGCGGUAGAGGAGCGUUCUGUAAGCCUGUGAAGGUGAGUUGAGAAGCUUGCUGGAGGUAUCAGAAGUGCGAAUGCUGACAUGAGUAACGACAAUGGGAGUGAAAAACUCCCACGCCGAAAGACCAAGGGUUCCUGCGCAACGUUAAUCGACGCAGGGUUAGUCGGUCCCUAAGGCGAGGCUGAAGAGCGUAGUCGAUGGGAAAC